RNAcentral lists this ribosomal RNA (428 nucleotides) under Acidobacteriota bacterium. RNAcentral's name for it is "Acidobacteria bacterium partial 16S ribosomal RNA". It matches the Rfam family "Bacterial small subunit ribosomal RNA", at positions 356 to 776 of the family's 1533-position model. Lineage: Bacteria; Pseudomonadati; Acidobacteriota. The record is from RNAcentral.
UGGGAAUUUUGGACAAUGGGGGAAACCCUGAUCCAGCCAUCCCGCGUGUGCGAUGAAGGCCUUCGGGUUGUAAAGCACUUUUGGCAGGAAAGAAACGUCAUGGGUUAAUACCCCGUGAAACUGACGGUACCUGCAGAAUAAGCACCGGCUAACUACGUGCCAGCAGCCGCGGUAAUACGUAGGGUGCAAGCGUUAAUCGGAAUUACUGGGCGUAAAGCGUGCGCAGGCGGUUCGGAAAGAAAGAUGUGAAAUCCCAGAGCUCAACUUUGGAACUGCAUUUUUAACUACCGGGCUAGAGUGUGUCAGAGGGAGGUGGAAUUCCGCGUGUAGCAGUGAAAUGCGUAGAUAUGCGGAGGAAAACCGAUGGAGAAGGCAGCCUCCUGGGAUAACACUGACGCUCAUGCACGAAAGCGUGGGGAGCAAACAGG